Molecule: transfer RNA, 76 nt
Filed under: Vibrio parahaemolyticus
Lineage: Bacteria; Pseudomonadati; Pseudomonadota; Gammaproteobacteria; Vibrionales; Vibrionaceae
Description: tRNA-Gly
Rfam family: tRNA
About the family: Transfer RNA (tRNA) molecules are approximately 80 nucleotides in length. Their secondary structure includes four short double-helical elements and three loops (D, anti-codon, and T loops).
Source: RNAcentral
GCGACACUAGCUCAGUUGGUAGCUCAGAACCUUGCCAAGGUUGAGGUCACGAGUUCGAACCUCGUGUGUCGCUCCA